AGGACGAACGCUGGCGGCGUGCUUAACACAUGCAAGUCGAACGAUGAUGGGACUGCUUCGGUGGUUUUGAUUAGUGGCGAACGGGUGAGUAACACGUGAGUAACCUGCCCUUCACUCUGGGAUAAGCCUUGGGAAACGGGGUCUAAUACUGGAUAUUACUUGAGCCCGCAUGGGUUCGGGUGGAAAGUCUUUUGUGGUGGAGGAUGGGCUCGCGGCCUAUCAGCUUGUUGGUGAGGUGAUGGCUUACCAAGGCGACGACGGGUAGCCGGCCUGAGAGGGUGACCGGCCACACUGGGACUGAGACACGGCCCAGACUCCUACGGGGAGGCAGCAGGUGGGGAAUAUUGCACAAUGGACGGGAAGUCUGAUGCAGCGACGCCGCGUGGGGGAUGAAGGCCUUCGGGUUGUAAACCUCUUUCGUCAGGGAAGAAGCCUUUUGGGGUGACGGUACCUGGAGAAGAAGCACCGGCUAACUACGUG
RNAcentral lists this ribosomal RNA (480 nucleotides) under uncultured bacterium. RNAcentral's name for it is "bacterial SSU rRNA". It matches the Rfam family "Bacterial small subunit ribosomal RNA", at positions 26 to 507 of the family's 1533-position model. The record is from RNAcentral.